RNAcentral lists this ribosomal RNA (275 nucleotides) under Enterococcus sp. Its description in RNAcentral is "partial 16S ribosomal RNA". It matches the Rfam family "Bacterial small subunit ribosomal RNA", at positions 60 to 315 of the family's 1533-position model. Lineage: Bacteria; Bacillati; Bacillota; Bacilli; Lactobacillales; Enterococcaceae. The record is from RNAcentral.
CAGUCGACGCUUUUUCUUUCACCGGAGCUUGCUCCACCGAAAGAAAAAGAGUGGCGAACGGGUGAGUAACACGUGGGUAACCUGCCCAUCAGAAGGGGAUAACACUUGGAAACAGGUGCUAAUACCGUAUAACACUAUUUUCCGCAUGGAAGAAAGUUGAAAGGCGCUUUUGCGUCACUGAUGGAUGGACCCGCGGUGCAUUAGCUAGUUGGUGAGGUAACGGCUCACCAAGGCAACGAUGCAUAGCCGACCUGAGAGGGUGAUCGGCCACAUUG